GAUGAACGCUGGCGGCGUGCCUAAUACAUGCAAGUCGAGCGAACGGACGAGAAGCUUGCUUCUCUGAUGUUAGCGGCGGACGGGUGAGUAACACGUGGAUAACCUACCUAUAAGACUGGGAUAACUUCGGGAAACCGGAGCUAAUACCGGAUAAUAUUUUGAACCGCAUGGUUCAAAAGUGAAAGACGGUCUUGCUGUCACUUAUAGAUGGAUCCGCGCUGCAUUAGCUAGUUGGUAAGGUAACGGCUUACCAAGGCAACGAUGCAUAGCCGACCUGAGAGGGUGAUCGGCCACACUGGAACUGAGACACGGUCCAGACUCCUACGGGAGGCAGCAGUAGGGAAUCUUCCGCAAUGGGCGAAAGCCCGACGGAGCAACGCCGCGUGAGUGAUGAAGGUCUUCGGAUCGUAAAACUCUGUUAUUAGGGAAGAACAAAUGUGUAAGUAACUAUGCACGUCUUGACGGUACCUAAUCAGAAAGCCACGGCUAACUACGUGCCAGCAGCCGCGGUAAUACGUAGGUGGCAAGCGUUAUCCGGAAUUAUUGGGCGUAAAGCGCGCGUAGGCGGUUUUUUAAGUCUGAUGUGAAAGCCCACGGCUCAACCGUGGAGGGUCAUUGGAAACUGGAAAACUUGAGUGCAGAAGAGGAAAGUGGAAUUCCAUGUGUAGCGGUGAAAUGCGCAGAGAUAUGGAGGAACACCAGUGGCGAAGGCGACUUUCUGGUCUGUAACUGACGCUGAUGUGCGAAAGCGUGGGGAUCAAACAGGAUUAGAUACCCUGGUAGUCCACGCCGUAAACGAUGAGUGCUAAGUGUUAGGGGGUUUCCGCCCCUUAGUGCUGCAGCUAACGCAUUAAGCACUCCGCCUGGGGAGUACGACCGCAAGGUUGAAACUCAAAGGAAUUGACGGGGACCCGCACAAGCGGUGGAGCAUGUGGUUUAAUUCGAAGCAACGCGAAGAACCUUACCAAAUCUUGACAUCCUCUGACCCCUCUAGAGAUAGAGUUUUCCCCUUCGGGGGACAGAGUGACAGGUGGUGCAUGGUUGUCGUCAGCUCGUGUCGUGAGAUGUUGGGUUAAGUCCCGCAACGAGCGCAACCCUUAAGCUUAGUUGCCAUCAUUAAGUUGGGCACUCUAAGUUGACUGCCGGUGACAAACCGGAGGAAGGUGGGGAUGACGUCAAAUCAUCAUGCCCCUUAUGAUUUGGGCUACACACGUGCUACAAUGGACAAUACAAAGGGCAGCGAAACCGCGAGGUCAAGCAAAUCCCAUAAAGUUGUUCUCAGUUCGGAUUGUAGUCUGCAACUCGACUAUAUGAAGCUGGAAUCGCUAGUAAUCGUAGAUCAGCAUGCUACGGUGAAUACGUUCCCGGGUCU
This 1372-nucleotide ribosomal RNA is filed under the name uncultured bacterium. RNAcentral's name for it is "bacterial SSU rRNA". It matches the Rfam family "Bacterial small subunit ribosomal RNA", at positions 28 to 1381 of the family's 1533-position model. The record is from RNAcentral.